Molecule: transfer RNA, 76 nt
Filed under: Parcubacteria group bacterium
Lineage: Bacteria
Description: tRNA-His
Rfam family: tRNA
About the family: Transfer RNA (tRNA) molecules are approximately 80 nucleotides in length. Their secondary structure includes four short double-helical elements and three loops (D, anti-codon, and T loops). Further hydrogen bonds mediate the characteristic L-shaped molecular structure. tRNAs have two regions of fundamental functional importance: the anti-codon, which is responsible for specific mRNA codon recognition, and the 3' end, to which the tRNAs corresponding amino acid is attached (by aminoacyl-tRNA synthetases). tRNAs cope with the degeneracy of the genetic code in two manners: having more than one tRNA (with a specific anti-codon) for a particular amino acid; and 'wobble' base-pairing, i.e. permitting non-standard base-pairing at the 3rd anti-codon position.
Source: RNAcentral
GGGGAUAUGGCCAAGUGGUCUAAGGCACACGGUUGUGGCCCGUGCAUCACGGGUUCGAAUCCCGUUAUCCCCACCA